RNAcentral lists this ribosomal RNA (431 nucleotides) under uncultured Actinomycetes bacterium. Its description in RNAcentral is "bacterial SSU rRNA". It matches the Rfam family "Bacterial small subunit ribosomal RNA", at positions 1021 to 1449 of the family's 1533-position model. The record is from RNAcentral. Lineage: Bacteria; Bacillati; Actinomycetota; Actinomycetes.
GCAAGGUCUGUAUACAGGUGGUGCAUGGUUGUCGUCAGCUCGUGUCGUGAGAUGUUGGGUUAAGUCCCGCAACGAGCGCAACCCUCGUUCUGUGUUGCCAGCAUUUUAGUUGGGGACUCACAGGAGACUCCCCGGGGUUAACUCGGAGGAAGGUGGGGAUGACGUCAAAUCAUCAUGCCCCUUAUGUCCUUGGGCCGCACGCAUGCUACAAUGGCUGGUACAAACGGCUGCGAUACCGCAAGGUGGAGCGAAUCCGAUAAAGCCAGUCUCAGUUCGGAUUGGGGUCUGCAACUCGACCCCAUGAAGUCGGAGUUGCUAGUAAUCGUAGAUCAGCAACGCUACGGUGAAUACGUUCCCGGGGCUUGUACACACCGCCCGUCACGUCACGAAAGUCGGUAACAACCCGAAGUCAGUGCCCAACCGUAAGGGGG